UUACCGCCGCACGGCUCCCGGCCCCGUGGCGCGGCCGCCGGGUCCUGGCCCCGGUCGGGUUUGCCCGAGCGCCGUUCCCGUAGGCGCGGGAGCCUCCGAGCGCGGUCGCCGGGAACGUCUCCGGCUGCGGCGGCCCUGCCAAAGCCCGGAAUAUUUUUAGCUCUUUCUGUUGUUGGGUUUGGCUUCUCCUUUUUUUUUUUUUUAAAAAAAAAAAAAAAAAAGGCGAGUUUCUGCAGGGGUAUUUUUAGCCCGAUCCAUGUUAUUUUAACAGCCUCCUUUGCUUUCGGGCUCCCAUGUGUCGCCCAGACCCCGGCGGCGGGCGCGAGGGGCCGCCGAGCUGCGGGAACCCGUGCGGUCCCGUCCCCGCCGGGGAGCCCCUCCCGGUUAACGGCAGCCGGGGGGGACCCAGCCCGGGGCUGCCCCCCCCGGGGCUGCCGGCACAAAGCGAAACCGCCCCGGCCUCGGGCCCAAUCCUGCACCGCCUCCCGGCACCCCCGUGCCCCCCGUCUUCCAUCUCCUCGCAGGAACCCGAGCCGCCCCCCCCUGCCCUCGCACCCGUCGCGGCCCGGCCGUGCCCCCCGCCCUAAUCCAUGCACUAAUUGUAAUCCCAUUAAAGCAGAUAUAAUUUUAUUAGUAUUCACAGCUCAUCAAGGCGCUGCCGCCGUGCGACGGAGAGAAAAACGCCGGCGGGGAGCGGGAGGCCCAGGGCGGCACCGGCUGAGCGCCGGAUCCGGCCCCAGCUCCGUGCCCCCGAACCCGGCCCCGCUCCACGCACCCCGCUGGGACCCCCCCUGCUUUGCAGCCCCCCCUGCAGCCCCGCACGGCCGCGGCCGAGCGCUCAGCACCGCACACAAAGCCGCGGCAGGCGGCGGGGCCGCACCGGGGAUGCGCCGAGCCCGGCUCCGGUCCCGGGCACCGGCUGCAGCCGGUAACGGGAAGGUGGGAGCUGCAAAGCCGUCCUCCCCCCCGAGACGCGGGUGCAGGACCGGGUUUUAUUUUAUUUUUAUUUUUUUAUUUUUUUUUUUUCGCUGCGCAUAA
Molecule: long non-coding RNA, 1038 nt
Filed under: Anser brachyrhynchus (Pink-footed goose)
Lineage: Eukaryota; Metazoa; Chordata; Aves; Anseriformes; Anatidae
Description: lncRNA (ENSABRG00000004014.1)
Source: RNAcentral